This 253-nucleotide ribosomal RNA is filed under the name uncultured bacterium. RNAcentral describes it as "partial 16S ribosomal RNA". It matches the Rfam family "Bacterial small subunit ribosomal RNA", at positions 524 to 776 of the family's 1533-position model. The record is from RNAcentral.
UACGAAGGGGGCAAGCGUUGUUCGGAAUUACUGGGCGUAAAGGGCGCGCAGGCGGCCGUUCAAGUCAGAUGUGAAAGCCCCGGGCUCAACCUGGGAAUAGCAUUUGGGACUGGAUGGCUAGAGUUCGGGAGAGGAGAGUGGAAUUCCCAGUGUAGAGGUGAAAUUCGUAGAUAUUGGGAAGAACACCAGUGGCGAAGGCGGCUCACUGGCUCGUAACUGACGCUCAGGCGCGACAGCGUGGGGAUCAAACAGG